GUCUCCGUGGGCCCCGCCCCCUGCCAUCUCGUAUAUAAAAGCCCGAAUUCAGACCGGGGGAGAUGGUUUGUUGACACGAUAGUCUGCCGUGUUGUCUACUAGCUUUCAAGUUGUUAUUCCUUGUUCCAGCAACUCAUUUCCCGAUUUAUUGACCUGUAGCGCCGUGAUCAGAGCGAGCUUGGGCUUGGUUAGAAAACUGAUACUCAAAGAGAAUCUUUCCACCAGGAUGGUUUCUGGAAGAGCAUCGCCUUCAUCCCCUGUUGCCCAUCCGAUGCCUUCUCCCUUGUCUCACAAAACCUUGUCUCCAGGUGCACAUUAGGCUUUUUCCCCCCUGUCCUUUAUAGUUUUUUGUUUUAAUAAGCUUUAAGGUGAAAGCUUAAUAAACUUAAAGUGAAAGUCA
Molecule: long non-coding RNA, 400 nt
Organism: Odocoileus virginianus texanus
Lineage: Eukaryota; Metazoa; Chordata; Mammalia; Artiodactyla; Cervidae
Source: RefSeq, a predicted model, not a curated record